UGAGCACUCCUACGGGAGGCAGCAGUGGGGAAUAUUGCACAAUGGGCGCAAGCCUGAUGCAGCCAUGCCGCGUGUAUGAAGAAGGCCUUCGGGUUGUAAAGUACUUUCAGCAGUGAGGAAGGUGGGUAUGUUAAUAGCAUAUUCAUUUGACGUUAGCUGCAGAAGAAGCACCGGCUAACUCCGUGCCAGCAGCCGCGGUAAUACGGAGGGUGCGAGCGUUAAUCGGAAUUACUGGGCGUAAAGCGCAUGCAGGUGGUUUGUUAAGUCAGAUGUGAAAGCCCGGGGCUCAACCUCGGAAUUGCAUUUGAAACUGGCAAACUAGAGUACUGUAGAGGGGGUAGAAUUUCAGGUGUAGCGGUGAAAUGCGUAGAGAUCUGAAGGAAUACCGGUGGCGAAGGCGGCCCCCUGGACAGAUACUGACACUCAGAUGCGAAAGCGUGGGGAGCAAACAGGAUUAGAUACCCUGGUAG
This 470-nucleotide ribosomal RNA is filed under the name uncultured bacterium. RNAcentral's name for it is "bacterial SSU rRNA". It matches the Rfam family "Bacterial small subunit ribosomal RNA", at positions 330 to 793 of the family's 1533-position model. The record is from RNAcentral.